This 301-nucleotide ribosomal RNA is filed under the name uncultured bacterium. Its description in RNAcentral is "partial 16S ribosomal RNA". It matches the Rfam family "Bacterial small subunit ribosomal RNA", at positions 509 to 807 of the family's 1533-position model. The record is from RNAcentral.
CAGCCGCCACGGGAAUACGGAGGGUGCAAGCGUUAAUCGGAAUUACUGGGCGUAAAGCGCACGCAGGCGGUCUGUUAAGUCAGAUGUGAAAUCCCCGGGCUCAACCCGGGAACUGCAUUUGAAACUGGCAGGCUUGAGUCUUGUAGAGGGGGGUAGAAUUCCAGGUGUAGCGGUGAAAUGCGUAGAGAUCUGGAGGAAUACCGGUGGCGAAGGCGGCCCCCUGGACAAAGACUGACGCUCAGGUGCGAAAGCGUGGGGAGCAAACAGGAUUAGAUACCCGAGUAGUCCCUGUCUCUUAUAC